RNAcentral lists this ribosomal RNA (253 nucleotides) under uncultured bacterium. RNAcentral's name for it is "partial 16S ribosomal RNA". It matches the Rfam family "Bacterial small subunit ribosomal RNA", at positions 524 to 776 of the family's 1533-position model. The record is from RNAcentral.
UACGGAGGAUCCGAGCGUUGUCCGGAUUUAUUGGGUUUAAAGGGUGCGUAGGCGGACUAAUAAGUCAGGGGUGAAAGCCGGUAGCUUAACUAUCGAAUAGCCUUUGAAACUGCUAGUCUUGAAUACUGUUGAGGUAGGCGGAAUGUAUCAUGUAGCGGUGAAAUGCAUAGAUAUGAUACAGAACACCGAUUGCGAAGGCAGCUUACUAAGCAGUGAUUGACGCUGAGGCACGAAAGCGUGGGGAUCAAACAGG